This 833-nucleotide ribosomal RNA is filed under the name Olpidium brassicae. RNAcentral describes it as "eukaryotic LSU rRNA". The stretch from base 258 to 411 matches the Rfam family "5.8S ribosomal RNA". The record is from RNAcentral. Lineage: Eukaryota; Fungi; Olpidiomycota; Olpidiomycetes; Olpidiales; Olpidiaceae.
UCGGAUUGGAGGUAGGUUGCUGGCAACAGCAACCAGCUUCCGAGAAGUUGGUCAAACUUGGUCAUUUAGAGGAAGUAAAAGUCGUAACAAGGUUUCCGUAGGUGAACCUGCGGAAGGAUCAUUAUAAAAAAUUCGGGCUUGGGUUUAACCCAAGACCUGCCCCCAAAAGGGACCUUUUGUGCACUGUAAAAUUUUUUCACUUAAGCUUUGUCUGAUUGAUAUUUGUACCGAAAGGGACAAGAAUUUUAAUCUAAAACAACUUUUAACAAUGGAUCUCUUGGCUCUCGCAUCGAUGAAGAACGCAGCGAAAUGCGAUAAGUAAUGUGAAUUGCAGAAUUCAGUGAAUCAUCGAAUCUUUGAACGCAUAUUGCGCUCUCCGGCAUUCCGGAGAGCAUGCCUGUUUGAGUAUUGGCCUAAAUGAGAGUCUUCCUUUAAAGAUAUAAAAAAGAACGUCAAGAACCCUCAGUUGAGACUUCUCGACAAUUCAUUGCCGAGUGUUUUAAAAUGCAAUAGUACCGCCACGUUUGCGAACUUGGAGUAAUAUGUGAGCCUGAAAAGGUGACCUCUAUUCUCCUCGGACCAUGUAGACUUGUUAAGCGGGAAGUUUUUGAAUGCCGAAUUAUGGGAGACGGUGUUCAAUUGUUCGAGUAACGACGAACGAAAUAAACUCAAUCUCAAAUCAGGUAGGAUUACCCGCUGAACUUAAGCAUAUUAAUAAGCGGAGGAAAAGAAACUAACAAGGAUUCCCCUAGUAACGGCGAGUGAAGCGGGAAGAGCUCAAAGUUGGAAUCUGGGCAGGUUUCCUGCUCCGAAUUGUAAUCUAUAGACGUGUU